GAGCUUAGGGUUUGAUCGGAAAACGUCACAGUAAGAUCCAACGGUUCUAAAUGAUCGGCACCAGUUCAAACUGCUAGCCUUUAAGCGUGAAAUUGAUUGUGCAGUAAUUUGCAGCUUCUGUGCUUAACGGUAAUAUUAUCA
Molecule: non-coding RNA, 141 nt
Organism: Erythranthe guttata (spotted monkey flower)
Lineage: Eukaryota; Viridiplantae; Streptophyta; Magnoliopsida; Lamiales; Phrymaceae
Source: RefSeq, a predicted model, not a curated record